RNAcentral lists this ribosomal RNA (504 nucleotides) under uncultured bacterium. Its description in RNAcentral is "bacterial SSU rRNA". It matches the Rfam family "Bacterial small subunit ribosomal RNA", at positions 29 to 524 of the family's 1533-position model. The record is from RNAcentral.
AGCGAACGUUAGCGGCGGGCUUAACACAUGCAAGUCGAGCGAGAGAGUGACUUCGGUCAUGAGUAAAGCGGCAGACGGGUGAGGAACACGUAGGUAAUUUUCCGUUUAGUGGGGGACAACGGUCCGAAAGGACCGCUAAUACCGCAUACGUUCCUUGGGGCUUUGGCCCUGGGGAGGAAAGCUGGGCAACUGGCGCUAAAUGAGAAGCCUGCGUCGCAUCAGCUAGUUGGUGGGGUAAUGGCCUACCAAGGCGAAGACGCGUAGCUGGUCUGAGAGGAUGAUCAGCCACACUGGAACUGAGACACGGUCCAGACUCCUACGGGAGGCAGCAGUGGGGAAUAUUGGACAAUGGGCGCAAGCCUGAUCCAGCCACGCCGCGUGAGUGAUGAAGGCCUUCGGGUCGUAAAGCUCUGUGGGGAGAGACGAACCGCUGGGGUAACCCUUCAGCAUGACGGUAUCUCCUUAGCAAGCACCGGCUAACUUCGUGCCAGCAGCCGCGGUAAU